RNAcentral lists this ribosomal RNA (497 nucleotides) under uncultured bacterium. Its description in RNAcentral is "partial 16S ribosomal RNA". It matches the Rfam family "Bacterial small subunit ribosomal RNA", at positions 28 to 507 of the family's 1533-position model. The record is from RNAcentral.
GAUGAACGCUGGCGGCGUGCCUAAUACAUGCAAGUAGAACGCUGAAGGAAGGAGCUUGCUCUUUCCGGAUGAGUUGCGAACGGGUGAGUAACGCGUAGGUAACCUGCCUGGUAGCGGGGGAUAACUAUUGGAAACGAUAGCUAAUACCGCAUAACAGUAGAUGUUGCAUGAUAUCUACUUAAAAGGUGCAAUUGCACCACUACCAGAUGGACCUGCGUUGUAUUAGCUAGUUGGUGAGGUAACGGCUCACCAAGGCGACGAUACAUAGCCGACCUGAGAGGGUGGUCGGCCCCCCUGGGACUGAGACACGGCCCAGACUCCUACGGGAGGCAGCAGUAGGGGAUCUUCGGCAAUGGACGGAAGUCUGACCGAGCAACGCCGCGUGAGUGAAGAAGGUUUUCGGAUCGUAAAGCUCUGUUGUAAGAGAAGGACGAGUGUGAGAGUGGAAAGUUCACACUGUGACGGUAUCUUACCAGAAAGGGACGGCUAACUACGUG